RNAcentral lists this long non-coding RNA (1409 nucleotides) under Equus caballus (horse). Its description in RNAcentral is "matrix Gla protein (ENSECAG00000010721.3)". The record is from RNAcentral. Lineage: Eukaryota; Metazoa; Chordata; Mammalia; Perissodactyla; Equidae.
GAGCCUCCCUCCCCACUGCUGCCGCACAAGACAGUGAGAACGACCCACAGGACCACAGAGAGACAUGAAGAGCCUGCUCCUUCUCUCAAUUCUGGCUGCCUUGGCCAUGGCAGCUUUAUGUUAUGAUUCCUGUAUUCAACUUAUUAGGCAAGUUCUUUCUAUGAAUCUCACGAAAGCUUGGAAUCCUAUGAACUUAAUCCCUUCCUUAACAGGAGAAAUGCUAAUACCUUUAUGACUCCGCAGCAGAGAUGGAGAGCUAGAGCCCAAGAAAGGAUCCGAGAAAGCACCAAGCCUGCCCAUGAGCUCAACCGGGAAGCCUGUGAGGACUUCAAACUUUGCGAACGCUAUGCUAUGGUUUACGGAUACGAUGCUGCCUACAAUCGCUAUUUCCGGCAGCGCCGAUGGGAAAAAUGAGAUUGGGAAACGUCUCUUUCUUUCCAGAGCCUGGUGCCUGGUUUUGUAUUCCCUUGCAGUAGCAUCACUGAACUAUAUAGACACACACAAAUUGCUUGUUUCUUAAAUGUUCUCGUCUGGCUGCACCCGUCCUUCCUGCCCGCAUUGAUGAGUAGUGAAAGUGCAGUGUAGUGAAGGUUGAAGGGGAGUUAAGAUGUGUAAUUACUACACAAUAAACUUCUGGUUGGAUCCUUUCAUUUUGUGAGUCUGAUUCUUCUGGGAAAAUGCUGAGAUGUUUAAAUCACAGCCAUCUAACCCAGAAUAGGAGAUUCUGUCAGUCAUGUUCUAGUGUCAAUCAGAAGCAAAACUAUAUAGGAAUAAUGAACUUUAGAAGACAUUCACCCAGCCCUAAUUUGUCUAGACUCUCUCUGCCUUGGUAUCAGUAAAUGAUUGCUUUCUAUUAUGUGUUUUCCAGGAUUUUCAAACAUCAUAGACACUUAACCAUUUUAUUUUCCUGCUCCCAAACUUUAAAUGGCUCCUAAAUUCCUUCCGUGUGUGACUCUGUAUCCUGGCUCAUCACCCUCAUGUGAAAGUUAUCAGUUCCUAAGAUGCUACACUUUCCACUCUUACUUGUACAGAGAAAAUAUUUGCUUUCAUAAUCACCAGUGAUGUUAAAAUGACACAUCCGUGGAAUUUUGGAGCCAGACAUGAUGCUAGAGGUCCUUUAGGCCUGAUUUGCUGAGGAGUAAAUGAGGCUCCGAAGUCUUCCCUCCUUGGUUGUUAAGAAUAGAAGCCAGCACUUCUCAGUGUCAAUUCAGACUUUGUUCUUUUCUGCCAUGUACACUUGUCAAGCCCACCUUUUACAUCCAUUCCUUCUGGUAGGUCCACUGUAUAUCUCUUUAGUGGAGUGUCUUUCCACUCCUUCAAAAUCCUACUCAAAACUCAAGUACUUUAUGAAAUCAGUAAUGAUUAAAACUACUCACCUUGUAUCAGUAUUCAGCCUUUUGAGAAUGAUG